RNAcentral lists this ribosomal RNA (494 nucleotides) under uncultured bacterium. Its description in RNAcentral is "bacterial SSU rRNA". It matches the Rfam family "Bacterial small subunit ribosomal RNA", at positions 899 to 1397 of the family's 1533-position model. The record is from RNAcentral.
ACUCAAAGGAAUUGACGGGGACCCGCACAAGCGGUGGAUGAUGUGGAUUAAUUCGAUGCAACGCGAAAAACCUUACCUGCGCUUGACAUGCCAGGAACCCCGAAGAGAUUUGGGGGUGCCCGAAAGGGAGCCUGGACACAGGUGCUGCAUGGCUGUCGUCAGCUCGUGUCGUGAGAUGUUGGGUUAAGUCCCGCAACGAGCGCAACCCUUAUCCUUAGUUGCUACGCAAGGGCACUCUAAGGAGACUGCCGGUGACAAACCGGAGGAAGGUGGGGAUGACGUCAAGUCCUCAUGGCCCUUAUGCGCAGGGCUUCACACGUCAUACAAUGGUCGGUACAGAGGGUCGCCAACCCGCGAGGGGGAGCCAAUCCGAGAAAGCCGAUCGUAGUCCGGAUUGCAGUCUGCAACUCGACUGCAUGAAGUCGGAAUCGCUAGUAAUCGCGGAUCAGCAUGUCGCGGUGAAUACGUUCCCGGGUCUUGCACACACCGCCCGU